Molecule: ribosomal RNA, 573 nt
Filed under: uncultured Bacillota bacterium
Lineage: Bacteria; Bacillati; Bacillota
Description: bacterial SSU rRNA
Rfam family: Bacterial small subunit ribosomal RNA
Source: RNAcentral
UCCCCCACAUUGGAACUGAGACACGGUCCAAAUUCUUACGGGAGGCAGCAGUGAGGAAAUAUUGGACAAUGGGCGAGAGCCUGAACCAGCCAAGUAGCGUGAAGGAUGACUGCCCUAUGGGUUGUAAACUUCUUUUAUAAAGGAAUAAAGUCGGGUAUGGGUACCCGUUUGCAUGUACUUUAUGAAUAAGGAUCGGCUAACUCCGUGCCAGCAGCCGCGGUAAUACGGAGGAUCCGAGCGUUAUCCGGAUUUAUUGGGUUUAAAGGGAGCGUAGAUGGAUGUUUAAGUCAGUUGUGAAAGUUUGCGGCUCAACCGUAAAAUUGCAGUUGAUACUGGAUAUCUUGAGUGCAGUUGAGGCAGGCGGAAUUCGUGGUGUAGCGGUGAAAUGCUUAGAUAUCACGAAGAACUCCGAUUGCGAAGGCAGCCUGCUAAGCUGCAACUGACAUUGAGGCUCGAAAGUGUGGGUAUCAAACAGGAUUAGAUACCCUGGUAGUCCACACGGUAAACGAUGAAUACUCGCUGUUUGCGAUAUACGGCAAGCGGCCAAGCGAAAGCGUUAAGUAUUCCACCUGG